AGGUGGAGCGAUCACAUGGUACUGGCCGUCAACGCCAUGUUUUGUAGAAUAUCAGGAAAAGCGAGACCGUUCAGCUACUAAACAGAGUGAAGAUUUUAGUAUCUCCUAGGAUCCUCUUCAGCAAGGACAUGUAAAGUCUGAAAGAAAGAGAACACCUAAAGUUCCAUUGCUG
This is a long non-coding RNA of Polypterus senegalus (gray bichir), 172 nucleotides long. RefSeq lists it as uncharacterized. The record is from RefSeq and is a predicted model, not a curated record. NCBI's taxonomy places the organism in Eukaryota, Metazoa, Chordata, Cladistia, Polypteriformes, Polypteridae. The transcript is spliced from 3 exons.